AAUGGCCAAGACCUGGGGAGCGCAGGAGAAAAGCAGGUGUUCGGUGGGGAGGGCAAGGGGGGCAGAGCGUGGGAAGAUGCACCAAGCCCAGGCACCCGAGGCCCGAGGUGCCAGCCGUAGAGGAGAGAACCCAACGCAAUUCCAUAUGUUCAAGAGGCAGAUCCAGGAAGCAGAAUGAGUACCUAGAAAAGAAGAAAGUACCAUUUAUUCACUCAUUCAUUCUCUCUCUCUCUCCCUCCCUCCUCCCUUUUUUGUGUGUGUGCAAGUGCACACCCACACACCCACAAACAACUGCAUACACACACAGAUGUUGAUUACAUGCCAGGUACUGUGAUAACUGAUCUAAAUACAGUAUCUCAUUUAAUUCUCAAAUGUUACAGAUUUUUAUGCUCUGAACCCAAAGUGUGUCUUACAAUCAAUAGUAUGCAAGCCUUAUGUCAUAAUCUAAUUAGAAGCAUUUUUCUUUCAUAAUAACUCAAAAUCAUGGUGCAUCUUGCCAGCAAAAGUGUGACAGAUUGGAAGGAAUACAGCAUUCUCUCCACAUCACAGAGGAAGAAACACCUAAAGAGUUCUAGAGCAAGGAAACUGACUCAAGGGAGACACUGUGCAGUAGGAGAGAAAUAUGAGAACCCCAAUCUCAGGAUUCAAGGUCUGGGGAUCACUGAAGGAAAGGCUCUGUAAACUCCUGUUCGUUUCUUCCCUGCACAGCUGCAAGAUCA
Molecule: long non-coding RNA, 719 nt
Filed under: Homo sapiens (human)
Lineage: Eukaryota; Metazoa; Chordata; Mammalia; Primates; Hominidae
Description: long non-coding RNA NONHSAT215934.1
Source: RNAcentral